This 434-nucleotide ribosomal RNA is filed under the name uncultured Lachnospiraceae bacterium. Its description in RNAcentral is "partial 16S ribosomal RNA". It matches the Rfam family "Bacterial small subunit ribosomal RNA", at positions 341 to 792 of the family's 1533-position model. The record is from RNAcentral. Lineage: Bacteria; Bacillati; Bacillota; Clostridia; Lachnospirales; Lachnospiraceae.
ACGGAAGGCAGCAGUGGGGAAUAUUGCACAAUGGGGGAAACCCUGAUGCAGCGACGCCGCGUGAGUGAGGAAGUAUUUCGGUAUGUAAAGCUCUAUCAGCAGGGAAGAAAAUGACGGUACCUGACUAAGAAGCCCCGGCUAACUACGUGCCAGCAGCCGCGGUAAUACGUAGGGGGCAAGCGUUAUCCGGAUUUACUGGGUGUAAGGGGAGCGUAGACGGUUCUGCAAGUCUGAUGUGAAAGGCAGGGGCUCAACUCCUGGACUGCAUUGGAAACUGUAGAACUAGAGUGCCGGAGAGGUAAGCGGAAUUCCUAGUGUAGCGGUGAAAUGCGUAGAUAUUAGGAGGAACACCAGUGGCGAAGGCGGCUUACUGGACGGUAACUGACGUUGAGGCUCGAAAGCGUGGGGAGCAAACAGGAUUAGAUACCCUGGUA